UGGGGAAUAUUGGACAAUGGGCGAAAGCCUGAUCCAGCCAUGCCGCGUGUGUGAAGAAGGUCUUCGGAUUGUAAAGCACUUUAAGUUGGGAGGAAGGGCAUUAACCUAAUACGUUAGUGUUUUGACGUUACCGACAGAAUAAGCACCGGCUAACUCUGUGCCAGCAGCCGCGGUAAUACAGAGGGUGCAAGCGUUAAUCGGAAUUACUGGGCGUAAAGCGCGCGUAGGUGGUUUGUUAAGUUGGAUGUGAAAUCCCCGGGCUCAACCUGGGAACUGCAUUCAAAACUGACUGACUAGAGUAUGGUAGAGGGUGGUGGAAUUUCCUGUGUAGCGGUGAAAUGCGUAGAUAUAGGAAGGAACACCAGUGGCGAAGGCGACCACCUGGACUAAUACUGACACUGAGGUGCGAAAGCGUGGGGGGCAAACA
RNAcentral lists this ribosomal RNA (427 nucleotides) under uncultured bacterium. RNAcentral's name for it is "partial 16S ribosomal RNA". It matches the Rfam family "Bacterial small subunit ribosomal RNA", at positions 355 to 774 of the family's 1533-position model. The record is from RNAcentral.